AGUGGUAAUGGUAGGAUGUGUGGUAGUUGCAUGUUUAGUUUAUUAAGAAAUUGCCAAGCUCUUUUCCAGAGCAGCUGUACCAUUUGCAUUUCUACUAGCAAU
Molecule: microRNA precursor, 102 nt
Filed under: Marmota monax (woodchuck)
Lineage: Eukaryota; Metazoa; Chordata; Mammalia; Rodentia; Sciuridae
Source: RNAcentral